RNAcentral lists this ribosomal RNA (898 nucleotides) under Niesslia ilicifolia. Its description in RNAcentral is "LSU rRNA". It matches the Rfam family "Eukaryotic large subunit ribosomal RNA", at positions 38 to 964 of the family's 3401-position model. Lineage: Eukaryota; Fungi; Ascomycota; Sordariomycetes; Hypocreales; Niessliaceae. The record is from RNAcentral.
GCAUAUCAAUAAGCGGAGGAAAAGAAACCAACAGGGAUUGCCCCCAGUAACGGCGAGUGAAGCGGCAACAGCUCAAAUUUGAAAUCUGGCCCCCAGGGUCCGAGUUGUAAUUUGUAGAGGAUGCUUUUGGCGCGGCGCCUUCCGAGUUCCCUGGAACGGGACGCCAUAGAGGGUGAGAGCCCCGUCUGGUUGGAUGCCUAGCCUCUGUAAAGCUCCUUCGACGAGUCGAGUAGUUUGGGAAUGCUGCUCUAAAUGGGAGGUAUAUGUCUUCUAAAGCUAAAUACCGGCCAGAGACCGAUAGCGCACAAGUAGAGUGAUCGAAAGAUGAAAAGCACUUUGAAAAGAGGGUUAAAUAGUACGUGAAAUUGUUGAAAGGGAAGCACUUGUGACCAGACUUGGGCCCGGUUAAUCAUCCAGCGUUCUCGCUGGUGCACUUUGCCGGCCCAGGCCAGCAUCAGUUCGCCGUGGGGGAUAAAGGCUUCGGGAAUGUGGCUCCCUCGGGAGUGUUAUAGCCCGUUGUGUAAUACCCUGUGGCGGACUGAGGUUCGCGCUCCGCAAGGAUGCUGGCGUAAUGGUCAUCAGUGACCCGUCUUGAAACACGGACCAAGGAGUCGUCUUCGUAUGCGAGUGUUCGGGUGUCAAACCCCUACGCGUAAUGAAAGUGAACGCAGGUGAGAGCUUCGGCGCAUCAUCGACCGAUCCUGAUGUUCUCGGAUGGAUUUGAGUAAGAGCAUACGGGGCCGGACCCGAAAGAAGGUGAACUAUGCCUGUAUAGGGUGAAGCCAGAGGAAAACUCUGGUGGAGGCUCGCAGCGGUUCUGACGUGCAAAUCGAUCGUCAAAUAAUGGGCAUGGGGGGCGAAAGACUAAUCGAACCUUCUAGUAGCUGGUUUCCGCCGA